GCAGCAACACCUCCCAUCAGCUCAGUCCCUCCUCUGUUCUCUCUGAGGACAGGGAAACUACAACCAUGUAGGUCCUCAUGCUAAGGACAAUGUUGACCAGUCCUGGUGCUCAUCCUCCAGAAGACUGUGUUUUCCAUACCACCUCACUGUUUAGGGGGCUGGCCAAGCUCCGGAUGAUGGGCUGCAGGCCACUUCUAGGCCUGCCCCAUAAAACCUGGAGCUAGAGAUAAUUGUGGCUUGUGAUUUCACCAGGACCUGUCCACUUUCUCUGAAAAUAGCUAGUUGGUGGGGCCUCCCCUGCAUCCAGAACGCGAGCCUCAGGAGAGUCCAAGAUUGGCCAUCAGCGUUCAGCCUCUGCAAGUGGAAAGAGGGUGGGAGGCAGGUGGAGAGAGCAUAUCUAAGAUGCUUGCCUCAUCCACCCUGUGACUGCUUCGUAGCCACAUGCAUCCUUCCCUUCAGCUUUGAAAAGGUAAAUAACCACGCUAGUAACCCAGCCUGCUCCCACCUAGCCCAGUGUGGCUUCCCCGCCUGCAAGCUGGAAGACCCCCGCCCUCUCCCCACUGUGCAGGACUUCACUGAGCAUCCUGUGACCCACCCAGUCUGCCCCAGGAAUUCACCCCUGAUACGCUAGCUUGGGGCAUGUGGUGUUUUUCCUGUCCAGACGUGUCAAAGGAAAAGCAGCAAAGCUUUCCACUGGGUUCUACCACAGGAUAUUCAGCACUGGGUGAAUAUUAAAAUCCUCAGAAUAAAAUUAUAUAUGGAAUGACAACUGCCCAGGUACCUCCUGAGAUGGGCUCAGGAUCUCUAGGGUGGAGCCAUGCUUCUUUCUCUGGGUGAUUGCAAUGCCAGCAACAGUUGGAACUCACUGUCCUGCCAUGUGCUGCCAUUCAGGUGGGGACAGGAUGGACGAUGCAGACGUGCUCAUGGGCUGGUGGCUCGCAUAUGCGCACACACAUGGACAUUAUGUGACCACGCAGUCACGCAGGUGCUUGCCUCUGCACAGCUGUCCUGGAAGGAUGUGGGGACACUGAGGCCCUGGAGAUAGUCUGAAACAUGGCAUCAGAACCUUUCUGGACACGGCAUUUUGGACAGGGACCAUGAGUACACUGGUGUGGGGGACGACCCGCGUUGGCCACACUGGAUUUUCAAGGCACCACCUGGCUGUGAGGACCAUGUGUGAUAUCCUACUGGCUGC
Molecule: long non-coding RNA, 1195 nt
Filed under: Canis lupus familiaris (dog)
Lineage: Eukaryota; Metazoa; Chordata; Mammalia; Carnivora; Canidae
Description: lncRNA (ENSCAFG00845002775.1)
Source: RNAcentral